UCGAGGAUCUUCGGCAAUGGGCGCAAGCCUGACCGAGCGACGCCGCGUGCGCGAUGAAGGCCUUCGGGUUGUAAAGCGCUGUCGAGGGGGAGAAAGCUCCGCAAGGAGUUGAUCGACCCCUGGAGGAAGCACGGGCUAAGUUCGUGCCAGCAGCCGCGGUAAGACGAACCGUGCGAACGUUGUUCGGAUUCACUGGGCUUAAAGGGCGCGUAGGCGGGCCAUCAAGUCAGGGGUGAAAUCUUUCAGCUCAACUGGAAAAGUGCCUUUGAUACUGAUGGCCUCGAGGGAGGUAGGGGCGUGCGGAACUUCCGGUGGAGCGGUGAAAUGCGUAGAUAUCGGAAGGAACGCCGGUGGCGAAAGCGGCGCGCUGGACCUCUUCUGACGCUGAGGCGCGAAAGCCAGGGGAGCAAACGGGAUUAGAUACCCCCGUAGUCC
RNAcentral lists this ribosomal RNA (435 nucleotides) under uncultured bacterium. Its description in RNAcentral is "bacterial SSU rRNA". It matches the Rfam family "Bacterial small subunit ribosomal RNA", at positions 355 to 796 of the family's 1533-position model. The record is from RNAcentral.